CAGGCCUAACACAUGCAAGUCGAGGGGCAGCAUGGUCUUAGCUUGCUAAGGCUGAUGGCGACCGGCGCACGGGUGAGUAACACGUAUCCAACCUGCCGUCUACUCUUGGCCAGCCUUCUGAAAGGAAGAUUAAUCCAGGAUGGGAUCAUGAGUUCACAUGUCCGCAUGAUUAAAGGUAUUUUCCGGUAGACGAUGGGGAUGCGUUCCAUUAGAUAGUAGGCGGGGUAACGGCCCACCUAGUCAACGAUGGAUAGGGGUUCUGANAGGAAGGUCCCCCACAUUGGAACUGAGACACGGUCCAAACUCCUACGGGAGGCAGCAGUGAGGAAUAUUGGUCAAUUGGCGAUGGCCUGAACCAGCCAAGUANCGUGAAGGAUGACUGCCCUAUGGGUUUUUAAA
RNAcentral lists this ribosomal RNA (399 nucleotides) under uncultured bacterium. RNAcentral's name for it is "bacterial SSU rRNA". It matches the Rfam family "Bacterial small subunit ribosomal RNA", at positions 43 to 429 of the family's 1533-position model. The record is from RNAcentral.